Molecule: long non-coding RNA, 1219 nt
Organism: Oryzias latipes (Japanese medaka)
Lineage: Eukaryota; Metazoa; Chordata; Actinopteri; Beloniformes; Adrianichthyidae
Source: RefSeq, a predicted model, not a curated record
UCUGUUUGCCUGCCGCCUGCCCAGACUCUCGCCUGGAUCCCGACUAUCCCGUCUCUCCUCUGAUGGCAGUUAUUGACCACUGCCUGCCGGAUACUAAUUUAACUUUGUGGACUUUUAGCUGAGCUAAUAAGCCUGCUGAAUUUGGAUCCAGCCGUCUGCCUGUUCUUGUGAUUCCCGACAGCCUGAGUGAGAGCAAAUGUUCUCCUCGGUGACGCUCUGCGUCCCCCAGCGCCGCCGCUCCUGUCUGGGCUGAAGGAUGAGGCGCAUUGGGCUGUACAUCAUCUCAGCACGGCUCCCAUAAGAUCAAACUGCUUCAUUCUUCUUAUGAGAACCUUGUUUGGAUGCAAAUGAUGCUUCAGCUGGAAGGAGGCAAGUGGAGGCUGGAGGGAACUCAGAGGAAGGUCAUCUGGAGGACCAGACGGGUCGGCGUGGCCUUUAAACCAAGCCGCACACACAGGCACACAAGCUAACAGAUGGCUAAAUGGAACCCUGAGGCUCCUGCUGAUCCAUCUCCGGAUUAUUCUUAUCAUCCAAAAAAAGCUGUGACCCUGCAGGAACAGAAAGGAGUGAAAGUUCCUGUUGAAUGUUUGUGGGAGUCGACGGGCAGUAAAGCAUGGAGCGGCGUGAUGCAGACGCCGCAGUGAGACAGCAACAGCGUGUUAACCUGACUUGAUGACCUGCGUGAAAGCCAUUUGCUCUGCCAGAGCUCGGCUCCAACAUCGGAGGGCGAAAGCUUCUUGCAGACACAAACCAACGCUCAGAUUUAUGCCCAGCAUUCAUCACAUUUACGAACGGCUGAAACAGCCCGGACGGCCUUCAGAUGGUUUUAGAUUUCCAAAGGUUUUGGGUCAGCAGAAGUGUGUGAGGCUCUGCGAGGUGAAGCUUCUAACAAAUCCUUUGACUAUGAGGAGACCAAAGAGCACACAUUUCAAUCAAAGCUCCUGUAUAAUCUGUAGUGUUGUUUGAUAGCACCAAUACUAGACUGGUUCCUUCUGCCAGCAGCUGGAAACAUCUGUUUGAGAAGCCCAGAGGUGUGUUCCUCGGGUUUAGCUGGAACAGGAGGAGUCAGGUAAACUCCUCCUUGGGCUCCACGGGAGUGUUUUUAGACAAACACUCUCUGUGGAACUUAUGUUGGCAUUGGUUUGAAAUGAUGUUCAGUCUUUUGAGAAAAACAAGAAACAAAUAAUAAAAAUAAUUCAUUUUUAAAAAGAAGAAUCAA